Molecule: transfer RNA, 76 nt
Filed under: Acinetobacter baumannii
Lineage: Bacteria; Pseudomonadati; Pseudomonadota; Gammaproteobacteria; Moraxellales; Moraxellaceae
Description: tRNA-Gly
Rfam family: tRNA
About the family: Transfer RNA (tRNA) molecules are approximately 80 nucleotides in length. Their secondary structure includes four short double-helical elements and three loops (D, anti-codon, and T loops).
Source: RNAcentral
AUNGGAAUAGCUCAGUUGGUAGAGCAUAACCUUGCCAAGGUUGGGGUCGCGAGUUCGAGUCUCGUUUCCCGCUCCA